AGUAUAUUUGAUGAAAGAGUAAAAUAGGAUACUCCAUAUUUAAGAUGCUAAAAUAUAUUGUGGUUGCACAUCUUACAAUAUGCAUAUGGUUUCAUGCACCGUUACUGAUUUCAUUAAUUGUUGAAUCAUUAUUAUGAAUUUAGAACCAAUGCCCAAAUAGCAUGUGAUGAACAUAAAACAGCUGGCAUUUGUAGGCAGACGUCUUUUCUUUUAUCAUAUUUAUGAUCAAUCUUGAACCUUAAUUAUAAUCUGAAUCUCACAUGCAAAUGCUUAUGCCUUCCUGUAGUCUUUACAUAGUUUUGUCCUAGGGGAGUAGUUGUUGUUGUAUUAUUGUGUUCAAUUUUGAAGUUCUACACCCCGGUCUUUUGGCUGAAAAUAUCUUCUAAAAGUUGAUCUAAAUUUUAUGACUUCAGUCGCAUAGAUAUUCAGUGAAUGAUAUUGACUUUGAGAGGCUUGAUGCUGCCCCUUAGCCCCCGUUUGGCCCCCUAUCAAUUUCCAUUCCAUUACAUUCUAUUUUUCUCUCUCCUAUUUUCAACCACACAAUCUUCCAUAAAAUAAUAUUACACGUAAAGCAGACUUCUUUUCUUUUAUCAUAUUUAUGAUCAAUCUUGAACCUUAAUUAUAAUCUGAAUCUCACAUGCAAAUGCUUAUGCCUUCCUGUAGUCUUUACAUAGUUUUGUCCUAGGGGAGUAGUUGUUGUUGUAUUAUUGUGUUCAAUUUUGAAGUUCUACACCCCGGUCUUUUGGCUGAAAAUAUCUUCUAAAAGUUGAUCUAAAUUUUAUGACUUCAGUCGCAUAGAUAUUCAGUGAAUGAUAUUGACUUUGAGAGGCUUGAUGCUGCCCCUUAGCCCCCGUUUGGCCCCCUAUCAAUUUCCAUUCCAUUACAUUCUAUUUUUC
This 896-nucleotide long non-coding RNA is filed under the name Olea europaea (common olive). RNAcentral's name for it is "long non-coding RNA (OEUR_LNC000450)". The record is from RNAcentral. Lineage: Eukaryota; Viridiplantae; Streptophyta; Magnoliopsida; Lamiales; Oleaceae.